UACAGAGACUGCAAACGUUAUUCGGAUUCACUAAACAUAAAGAAUGCACAGACGACCAGAUGUGUCAGGUGUGAAAGCCCGGGGCUUAACCCCGGAAUUACGCCUAAAACUAUCUGGCUAGAGUACUGGAGAGGGUAGCGGAAUUCACGGUGUAGCAGUGAAAUGCGUAGAUAUCGUGAGGAACACCAGAGGCGAAGGCGGCUACCUGGACAGUAACUGACGCUCAGGCACGAAAGCGUGGGGAGCAAAA
RNAcentral lists this ribosomal RNA (250 nucleotides) under uncultured bacterium. RNAcentral describes it as "partial 16S ribosomal RNA". It matches the Rfam family "Bacterial small subunit ribosomal RNA", at positions 524 to 773 of the family's 1533-position model. The record is from RNAcentral.